UUUCUGAGUGAUUGACUUGCUAUAGGCCUAAUUGCUACUAUUAAUCAGCUUUGUGAUAUUUUGUUAUUGAUUUUUAUCGUAUUCAUUCCAGUUGAUAUUUUCAAUUUCUAUCAUGGAUAUGUCGCUGGCUACCGCUGGCCUUGAUUGGGCACGCAGUGUGGACGCAGCCAUGGACCAACGCAGCCAAGCUUACCAGGCUGGGCCAGCGACUCGACCAAUAUGUGGAAGCAGGACUGAAAUUUUUAAACAGGUGCGUUUGGAAUGUGUGGUGAGUUUAUUGAAGGCAGCUGUGGCUCCACUCAGCUCAUUCAUAAUGGAGGCACUUGCUCUGAAUCACCCUUUAACGGCCGCCAUUCGCCAACAACUGCAACUGGUUCCAAGCAAAAUGGUGCUGAAAAGUAUCAAUUCAAUGAAACCUACAACACCGACCAUGAUGUGGAGGACGAUGAGGAAGAGCCGGCCGGGGAUUGAGACCUAGAGGGUGUGGAAGAGGCUGUCGAGGAGGCUGUUGAAGAGGCUGUCGAGGAGGCUGUCGAAGAGGCGAGUGGAGAGGCUUUCUGAAGGAGGCUGAGGUUCUAAAUAAGCUGGAGCAAGUGAUUUGGAUGUAAUUUUUCAACAUGUCAUACGGAGUGUGCUGGGGGUUUGGUGUCCUCUCAAAGGGCACCAAAUAAGAGAGGCCCACCCACGAGUGCCUUCCAUCCCCCAACCACUGCACAUAGAACGAAAUUCUAUAAACAUCGUUGGAGCACACUGAAAACAAACAUGAAGAAAAAAUUAAACUUAUUCUGCUUAUUGUAAAAAACUAGUGAAUAUGAAUACUGUAAUAAUCUACUCUAGUAAUAAUCAAUUGUAAUAAUCAAAUACAUGUUGGUGCAUUACAAAUGUUGUAAUUUUAAAUUAUGAAAGAGAUAGAUAUAAAUGAAUAGAUGAAAAUUCAAAAGGGCGAUAAUAAUAUUGUUAUGCAUAUAAUAUGAAUAAUUUGUAUAAUAUGUAAUAUAUCAUUGCAUUUGUAUAUGAAUAAAAAUAAAUGAACAAAACAAGAAAUGCAAUAGCGGACUAUCCGGAGUAUUGUACAAGUAGAUAAUGUUGAUGACUUACUUUUUCUUUUGUAGAAUCUCCCAUCAUUGUCUGUUACAAUGUGGCAAGGCCAAAAAGGCUGUUUGCCGAUUCUUCCCUACAUAAUAUCCCCUAAGACUGAAAUUAAAAAACAAUUACAUUUUCAAACUAAGUAACAACAACUAUAUAUAUGUAUAAUUCUUUAAAACGAGUAGUUAUUUCAUUUUUUUCACAUUUAAAUCAUCUACUUGAUGGGCUAAAAUCAUACAAACAUAUAAUUACAAAAAUAUUUGGCCUCCACAUCUCCCCUUACAGCCAAACCAUUCCUCCACAAUAAUGACAAAGUAGCCAUUAUAAUAUAUAUUUAUUAUACAUACAUAUUAUGUAUAAUUCUUUAUAACAAGUAGUUAUUUCAAUUUUUUCACAUUUAAAUGUACAUCUACUUAAUGGGCUAAAAUCAUACAAACAUAUAAUUACAAAAAUAUUUGGCCUCCACAUCUCCCCUUACAGCCAAACCAUUCCUCCACAAUAAUGA
RNAcentral lists this unclassified non-coding RNA (1591 nucleotides) under Nilaparvata lugens (brown planthopper). Its description in RNAcentral is "uncharacterized LOC111049482, transcript variant X3". Lineage: Eukaryota; Metazoa; Arthropoda; Insecta; Hemiptera; Delphacidae. The record is from RNAcentral.